AUGACUGUAUUUCAGAUUUCUGCAAUAUGUUACACUUCAAACUUGCACCUAUCCAUUAUGAUUCUCCACUCCAUGAACUGUUUUUAUGAAGAGGCACACAACCAAUCAAAAGGUUUGUGCAUCAAAACCCAAUAUCUCCUGUCCACUACUCCCAAAAGAUUUCUGCAAUUUACUACACAUCAACGUCCCUUCUCCAAUAUGACUCUCCACCCCAUGAACCGUUUUUAUGAAGAGGCACACAACCAAUCAAAAGGUUUGUGCAUCAAAACCCAAUAUCUCCUGUCCACUACUCCCAAAAGAUUUCUGCAAUUUACUACACAUCAAACUUCCUUCUCCGCUAUGAUUCUCCAACCCCAUGAACUGUUUUUAUGAAGAGGCACACAACCAAUCAAAAG
This 395-nucleotide long non-coding RNA is filed under the name Carassius auratus (goldfish). RNAcentral's name for it is "lncRNA (ENSCARG00000038817.1)". The record is from RNAcentral. Lineage: Eukaryota; Metazoa; Chordata; Actinopteri; Cypriniformes; Cyprinidae.